RNAcentral lists this long non-coding RNA (4205 nucleotides) under Homo sapiens (human). Its description in RNAcentral is "non-protein coding lnc-EPSTI1-3:8". Lineage: Eukaryota; Metazoa; Chordata; Mammalia; Primates; Hominidae. The record is from RNAcentral.
ACUCAAUUGUGAGCCUCUCUCCUAAUUGUGUCUCACAGAUGCAUAGUGAGGAGGUUAUUCAGCUUGUAUUUACAUCAUUACCCAUCUACCAUCAGAGUGUAUUGCUAACUGGUUCUCCUUACAAAUGCUUGUUGUGUUUGUUUUGUGUUUUUAAUUUUAUGUUCCACUGCUUGUCUACUUUUUCAUUGUUUUUAAUCCAAACUUCUACUUCAGCCUCUGCUCAUGAAGUCUCCCUCUCCCGAGUCCUUUGGGCUGCAAUAAUCAGACUCAAGCUGAGUGGAGACACACACUGAACAGAUGACAUGCCAGCCAAACUUGCCCCAAAAGUUGGGGAGGGAAAUGGUGCUCAACUGAAGGCAGCUGCUCUUGGGAGAGUCUUGACAGAGACCUCUGCAGCGAUAGUGCCUGGCAUCAGUGAUUGACGGGGAGCCAUCUGAUCAACUUUUGUUUCUGAAGGAAAACCCUGAGGAAACUCACUACCAUCCUCAGUGGCUGGUGGAUGGAUAAAGAGGUGGAAAGCAAGUUGAGUGAGCAGAAACUAUGAAGAGCCAUGAGCAGUUCCGGGGGAGCAGCUGCGAGCAUCAUGGAAGGCCUCUGCCCUGUCGGAGAAGCCGGGAUCCUCUUCAGCUUGGACACUACAUCAGUGACACUGGCAUCUCCCCCAUGCCAGGUGUCCAGAUUAAUCAGGAGACCAUUGUAGAUGAGGCAUCGCUCUAGGACCUGGUACCUGCUUGUGCUUUGUCCAGAACUGAGCUCAGAACUUGCCCAGUUCUACCACAUGUCUGAAAACUUCUUCCUUCCUGUCCACAUCAUUCCGUAGUUGUCUCUGAGAUAUGUCUAUUUACAAGAAGAUACUCUGAAAAGGGCCAAGUCAGAAAUGACAUCUUGAUGUAUCCAGCCAGCCAGCAGUCUCAGUAGCCACUAAAAAAUUAGGUCAGUAGUUAAAAAUACUUUUACAAAGAAAAGCCCAGGCUUGGAUAGUUUUAUAAGAAUUACACCAAACAUUCAAGGAAUAGUUAAUAGUUCAUUCAAAUCUUAUACAAAUUCUUUCAGAUAAUAAAAAAAGAAAAAGAAAAACUCCUUAGCAAAUAUGUGAGAUAAAUAUAAACACAAUAUGAAAUUCACAUAGAGAUAAUUCGAGACAGGAAAAAUGAUUUACUCAUGAACAUAAAUGCAAAAAUCCUUUAAAAAUAUUGGCAAACUGAAUCCAAGAAUAUGUGAAAAAUAUAACACACCAUGAUAAAUUUGCAUCAUCCUAUAAAUGCAAAAUAUAUUUUGUAUUAAAAAAUCUAGUUUAGUUCAUGAAAUUAACAAAUUAAAUAAUUAUUUCAAUACUAUUAGAUAAACUUUAAACAUAUGUGGUCUCCUAGCUCUCCAAAGACCUCAUACUAAAAUAAUAGUUCUUCUUAAUAGAAGGAGCAAGGAAUUAUUGUUCCCAAAUGUUUUUACACACCUCCCCGCUAUGAGAGAAGUGUACUUCCUGGUUGGCUGACAUCCAGCCUGGGCCAUGUGACUUGCUCUGCCAGGAGUAGCAGGAAAGCAGAAAUGAUGUCUAUUAAGUCUUGAAAGAGGCUUUAAGAGCUAAUACACUCUUCUCCCACAUCCCCUCCUCAAGGGUCUCACUCCUAAAUAAAUGUUACUUUUUCAACUUCCAUCCCAGAAUAAAAAAGCAUGUGGAGCAGAAAUGGAACAGAGUAGAGGCCAGCUCAGUUUCCAUGUUAUAAAACCAAAUAGACAUCUUUGUUGCAGUAAGCCCCCAUGAUCUGGAUGUUGUUUGCUAUCACAAUAUAACUUACUCUGUGAUGAUUGCUAUUUUAAAAAGAGUACCUACCAAAAAUUUGUAGCGCAAACCAUACUUACUAAUAAAAAAUUAACCUUACUCCCUUUAAAAUAAAAAACAACAGUGAUGCCUUUGAUUCAACAUUGUGCAGUAAGAUAAGGAAAAAUAAAAUGUAGGAAUUAUAAAAGGAAAUACUAAGCUUUGGUUAUUUGCAGGUAAUAUGAUUGUUUAUAUAGAAACUCCUCAAGAAUAUGGACAUAAUUUAACAAAACAGAGCACCUAAAAUACCAACAAAAUCAUAAUACAUCCAGGAAUAAAUCUAACAAAAUUUGUGCAAGACUUCUUUGAAAUUAUAUAUGUUAUUAAAAUACAUUAAAGUAAACGUAAAUAAAUGCAUAUAUUAUUUAUCUAUUUAUUUAUUUAUUAUUAUUAUUUUUUUUUGAGAUGAGGUCUCACUAUGUUGCCCAGGUUGGUCUCGAACUCCUGGGCUCAAGUGAUCUGUUCACCUUGGCCUCCCAAAAUGCUGGGAUUACAAGCAUGAGCCACCACACCUGGCCUUAUAUUUAUUUUGUAUACAUAUAAUAUUUGUGAUAGAAGGACACAAUAUAUUAAAAGUUUGGUCAUUCUCUUCAAAUUGCUCUAUAAAUAAAAUGCAAUUCCUUUCAAAUUCAAUCCAGAGCUGUUUGCAGAACUUGAUAAGCAGAUUCUAAAAUUUUUAUGGAAAAAUGAAGCACAAGAAUAGCUGAAACACCCCUGUAGAGGAUGAACAGGAUGAGGCGAGCUGUUUUGCCAGUUUUCAUUGCCCUGUGUAUAUAAUAAAGCUUUGAUUAAUUAAGAGAGCAUAAUAUGGCACAGGAACAUAGGAUAGACCAGUGGAUCAGCACAGAGCGUGUAGAAACAAGCCCACACAUAAAAUGAAAUCUAGUAUAUAACUGGAAUGUCACUGCGGAUCAGUAAGAAUGGGUUGCUCAAUAAAUGAUGCUAUGAUCAUUUGUUUUCUAUAUGGACAACAACAACACAAAAAAGAAUACACAAAAAUAAAUAAAAGGGAAAAAGAUUUAGAUAUGGAAACCACAAACUUAAGACUUUGGGGAAAAAUAUAGAAUAUUUCUAUGAUCUUGGAGCAGGAAAAAAAUGAUGAAAACAAGACCCGAAAAGCACAAAUAUAAAUGAAAAGAUAAGAAAGUUAACUGAGUUAAAAUUAAUAACACUUCUUAAUCAAAAGAUUCCUAAAUGCAAAGAUAAGCAAAAAGGAAAAGUCUGCCUCCCCCAAAAGCAGUGGUAAAACAUAGGAAUAAACACUUCACAGAAGAGUCAGCCCAAAUAGCUAUUAAAUAAAUGAAAAAUGUUCAACCUUUUAAAUAAUGAAGAUGUUGCAAGAUAAAACCACAAUAAGUUAAAGUUUUAUACUAAAAUGUUGGUAAGGAUGGAGAUCACUGCAAAACAAACUGUAUAUAUAUAUAUAUAUAUAUAUAUAUAUAUAUAUAUAUAUAUAUAUAUAUAUAUGCUAUGUAGCUUUCUACAACCACUCUGUAUAACAAUUUGGUCAUAGUAAAGUAAAAAUAUGCAUAUCCUAUGACCAGGAAAUCUCACACACACACACACACAAAAUGCACAUGCUUAUGUGUACACACAAUCCCUAAAAAUACCCUUGAACAGGGGCACCCAGAGAUAUGUACAAGUAUAUUCAUAGAACCAUUAUGUGUGCUUAGCUACUAUUACAACCAUUAACACGGUUGAAGCCCGCAAACAAAAAAUUAAUGAAAAAGCAAGAUGCAGGAUACACAUACUAUGGUUUAUAUAAAGAUCAAAAAAUAACAAAAGUAUACUGCAUAUGGUUGAGAAUAGCCAGGGCUGACUAUAUAAUUUUUAGGCUCAGGGCAAAAUGAAAAUGUGGGAUCCCUUUGUUCCAAAAGCAGGGGAAAAGCUUUUAUCUUUCUUUCAUGGUCUAUCUCUGUAGGAUAAUGGCCAUAGUAUCUUGAUAAUUCAUAGAAAAAAAAACUAUAUUAACUCUAAACAUUUGAAAAAGCACUCAACUUACAAAAUACACAAAGAAACCAUUUUUAACCCAUUGGAUUGACAAAUAGAAAAAAUUGAUAACACACUCUCUUACCAAGACACUCUCAAAUAGUGCUAAUGGAGAAAUGAAAGGACACAGCCAUUUUCAAUAAUAAUUUGUCAAUAUCUUUCAAAAUUUCACAUCAAAUACUCUUUGAUUCUAUGGGAACUUCUCCUAUAUGUUUGAAAUUAUACAUGUAAAAGGAUGUUAAUUGCAGCAUUUUAUAAUUCCAAAAGAUUGGAAAUACCCUAACUAGCCUAAAGCAAGAGAGAGGUCAUAUCUGGGUCUUUGGAAGGAUAAUGGAAUGAUAUGUUAUGCAACCAUUAAAAUAUUGAGGUAGGUCUGUCUGUGCUAAUAAAUGAUCAC